AGUGGCGGACGGGUGAGUAAUGCUUGGGAACUUGCCUUUGCGAGGGGGAUAACAGUUGGAAACGACUGCUAAUACCGCAUAAUGUCUUCGGACCAAACGGGGCUUCGGCUCCGGCGCAAAGAGAGGCCCAAGUGAGAUUAGCUAGUUGGUAAGGUAAAGGCUUACCAAGGCGACGAUCUCUAGCUGUUCUGAGAGGAAGAUCAGCCACACUGGGACUGAGACACGGCCCAGACUCCUACGGGAGGCAGCAGUGGGGAAUAUUGCACAAUGGGGGAAACCCUGAUGCAGCCAUGCCGCGUGUGUGAAGAAGGCCUUCGGGUUGUAAAGCACUUUCAGUUGUGAGGAAAAGUUAGUAGUUAAUACCUGCUAGCCGUGACGUUAACAACAGAAGAAGCACCGGCUAACUCCGUGCCAGCAGCCGCGGUAAUACGGAGGGUGCGAGCGUUAAUCGGAAUUACUGGGCGUAAAGCGCACGCAGGCGGUUUGUUAAGCUAGAUGUGAAAGCCCCGGGCUCAACCUGGGAUGGUCAUUUAGAACUGGCAGACUAGAGUCUUGAGAGGGGAGUGGAAUUCCAGGUGUAGCGGUGAAAUGCGUAGAUAUCUGGAGGAACAUCAGUGGCGAAAGGCGACUCCCUGGCCAAAGACUGACGCUCAUGUGCGAAAGUGUGGGUAGCGAACAGGAUUAGAUACCCUGG
RNAcentral lists this ribosomal RNA (694 nucleotides) under Alteromonadaceae bacterium. RNAcentral describes it as "bacterial SSU rRNA". It matches the Rfam family "Bacterial small subunit ribosomal RNA", at positions 94 to 790 of the family's 1533-position model. The record is from RNAcentral. Lineage: Bacteria; Pseudomonadati; Pseudomonadota; Gammaproteobacteria; Alteromonadales; Alteromonadaceae.